Molecule: ribosomal RNA, 253 nt
Filed under: uncultured bacterium
Lineage: Bacteria
Description: partial 16S ribosomal RNA
Rfam family: Bacterial small subunit ribosomal RNA
Source: RNAcentral
UACGUAGGUCGCAAGCGUUGUCCGGAUUUACUGGGCGUAAAGAGCGCGCAGGCGGCUGGCCAAGUCCGAUGUGAAAGCUUCCGGCUUAACCGGGAAAUUGCAUCGGAAACUGGUCGGCUUGAAGGUGGAAGAGGGUAGCGGAAUUCCCGGUGUAGUGGUGAAAUGCGUAGAUAUCGGGAGGAACACCAGUGGCGAAGGCGGCUACCUGGCCCAUUCUUGACGCUGAGGCGCGAAAGCUAGGGGAGCGAACGGG